GGCAGAAUAAUGGUCCAUAAAUGGUCUACAUCCUUAUUCCUGGGACUUGUGACUAUAUUGUGUUAUACAGCAAAGGGAAAUUAAGGUUUCAGGUGGAAGUAACAUUGCAAAUCAUUUGACCUUCAACUAGUAGAGUAUGCUGGGUGAUCCAGGUGAGUCAAAUAUUCUGAGUUAUCCAGGUGAGCCCAAUGUAAUCACAGAGUACUUAAAUAUGGAAAAGGGAAGCAGAGAAGUCAGUGUCAAAGUGAUGAAGCAUGAGAGCAGACUGACCAGGGCUUACUGUGGACAAUGGAAGAAGGAAGCCGUCUCCAAAAAAUAGUGGCAGCCUCUAGAAUGAAACUUCGCCCUGGUACCGCUUUGCUUUUAGCCCCGUGAGACCUGUUGCGGCCUUCUCACCUCCAAAACGUGAGCCAGAAGAGUUCUCUCAUGGGUGAGGUCUUCAAACAGACACCAGAGCACUUGCCCCAUGACUUUUCCGAUGGAAGUCGUCUGGAUCCUGAGCUAAAAUAAAAAUACGCCCGAAAUUUGGUGCCCAUUAAGGGAUAACAGCAGAGUGAGGUUACCAGAUAG
Felis catus (domestic cat) is the source of this 570-nucleotide long non-coding RNA. RefSeq lists it as uncharacterized. The record is from RefSeq and is a predicted model, not a curated record. Lineage: Eukaryota; Metazoa; Chordata; Mammalia; Carnivora; Felidae. The transcript has 2 exons.